Molecule: microRNA, 22 nt
Filed under: Caenorhabditis elegans
Lineage: Eukaryota; Metazoa; Nematoda; Chromadorea; Rhabditida; Rhabditidae
Description: cel-miR-75-5p
Gene: cel-miR-75-5p
Source: miRBase by way of RNAcentral
CAGUCGGUUGCAAGCUUAAAUA